Molecule: ribosomal RNA, 468 nt
Filed under: uncultured bacterium
Lineage: Bacteria
Description: partial 16S ribosomal RNA
Rfam family: Bacterial small subunit ribosomal RNA
Source: RNAcentral
GACGAACGCUGGCGGCGUGCUUAACACAUGCAAGUCGAACGGAAAGGCCCGGCUUUUGUUGGGUGCUCGAGUGGCGAACGGGUGAGUAACACGUGAGUAACCUGCCCUUGACUGUGUGAUAACUUCAGGAAACUGGGGCUAAUACCGGAUAGGAGCUCCUGCUGCAUGGUGGUGGUUGGAGAGUUUCGGCGGUUGGGGAUGGACUCGCGGCUUAUCAGCUUGUUGGUGUGGUAGUGGCUUACCAAGGCUUUGACGGGUAGCCGGCCUGAGAGGGUGAACGGCCACAUUGGGCCUGAGAUACGGAGCAGUCUCAUACGGGCGGCAGUAGUGGGGAAUAUUGCGCAAUGGGCGGAAGCCUGAUGCAGAAACGCCGCGUGCGGGAUGACGGCCUUCGGGUUGUAAACCGAUUUCGACUGUGACGAAGCGUGAGUGACGGUAAUGGGUAAAGAAGCACCGGCUAACUACGUG